UACGGGGGGGGCAAGCGUUGUUCGGAAUUACUGGGCGUAAAGGGCUCGUAGGCGGCCAACUAAGUCGGACGUGAAAUCCCCAGGCUCAACCUGGGAACUGCGUCCGAUACUGGAUGGCUUGAAUCCGGGAGAGGGAUGCAGAAUUCCAGGUGUAGCGGUGAAAUGCGUAGAUAUCAGGAAGAACACCCGUGGCGAAGGCGGCUCUCUGGGACGGUACUGACGCUGAGACGCGAAAGCGUGGGGAGCGAACAGG
This 253-nucleotide ribosomal RNA is filed under the name uncultured bacterium. RNAcentral's name for it is "partial 16S ribosomal RNA". It matches the Rfam family "Bacterial small subunit ribosomal RNA", at positions 524 to 776 of the family's 1533-position model. The record is from RNAcentral.